UUGAUUUUUUUACACCCCGGGACACAUUCUGAGUUCUCAAUUUCAAACAAAAGCACAUCUCACUUGAGAGGUACUUUUUUAUGUGUUAAAGACAUGCAAGCCCUUAUAAUAAAUGAAACCAAACCAAACCAAUUUUUUUCCUAAACCAAAUAUAACCAGACCAACUAAUAUGAAACCCUAUCGAUCUAUCUCCCUCAUUUCCCCUCUUUUCUCAUGCUUUAUCUCUCUCCCAGCUUAACGGCGGAGACUAACAAACCCUAGUUUCAGACUCACCUGUUUCACCUCUACAAUCCCACCCAAUAACUGUAUCUCUCUCCCAAUGCUCACGACAGACUCUGAGAACCAUUGUUUCACCGGCGGCGUGUCUGUAAACCCUAGUUUCUCCGGCGACGUAUCUGAAAGGGCGUAGUUUCUACGACGGCGUAUACAUCCUCAGACAUGCGAGGAAACAACAAACCAGACAACUUUGAUGCUGCUGCUCUUGGUUAGUUUCAGCGAAGGAAGAAGAAGCGCACGUAAGCUGUUCGACAAAAUACUUGUGACGAAUUAGGAGCUGCUGGUGAUUGGCAUGUUUUGUUUUGUCUACUUUGGAGUAGGCACUUGAGUACUGGAGUGAAUAUGUGUUAUUUGGAACGUUCUUGGGCUUGAGGAAUAUGUGAAUAUGUGUUUUGUCUACUUUGGAAUAAUAUGUGAAUAUGUGUUUUGUCUACUUUGGAGUAGGCACUUAGUACUGGUUUUUGGUCUCUCAUCAAAUGACCUCUUAAAUCAAAGUUUUGGGCUUUAGUCUUUCUCAAACCUUACCAUCAAA
This is a long non-coding RNA of Raphanus sativus (radish), 808 nucleotides long. RefSeq lists it as uncharacterized. The record is from RefSeq and is a predicted model, not a curated record. NCBI's taxonomy places the organism in Eukaryota, Viridiplantae, Streptophyta, Magnoliopsida, Brassicales, Brassicaceae. The transcript is spliced from 2 exons.